This 717-nucleotide ribosomal RNA is filed under the name Arthrobacter sp. NAR2(5). Its description in RNAcentral is "bacterial SSU rRNA". It matches the Rfam family "Bacterial small subunit ribosomal RNA", at positions 181 to 908 of the family's 1533-position model. Lineage: Bacteria; Bacillati; Actinomycetota; Actinomycetes; Micrococcales; Micrococcaceae. The record is from RNAcentral.
CAUUUGGCGCAUGCCGUGGUGGUGGAAAGCUUUUGCGGUUUUGGAUGGACUCGCGGCCUAUCAGCUUGUUGGUGGGGUAAUGGCCUACCAAGGCGACGACGGGUAGCCGGCCUGAGAGGGUGACCGGCCACACUGGGACUGAGACACGGCCCAGACUCCUACGGGAGGCAGCAGUGGGGAAUAUUGCACAAUGGGCGAAAGCCUGAUGCAGCGACGCCGCGUGAGGGAUGACGGCCUUCGGGUUGUAAACCUCUUUCAGUAGGGAAGAAGCGAAAGUGACGGUACCUGCAGAAGAAGCGCCGGCUAACUACGUGCCAGCAGCCGCGGUAAUACGUAGGGCGCAAGCGUUAUCCGGAAUUAUUGGGCGUAAAGAGCUCGUAGGCGGUUUGUCGCGUCUGCUGUGAAAGACCGGGGCUCAACUCCGGUUCUGCAGUGGGUACGGGCAGACUAGAGUGAUGUAGGGGAGACUGGAAUUCCUGGUGUAGCGGUGAAAUGCGCAGAUAUCAGGAGGAACACCGAUGGCGAAGGCAGGUCUCUGGGCAUUAACUGACGCUGAGGAGCGAAAGCAUGGGGAGCGAACAGGAUUAGAUACCCUGGUAGUCCAUGCCGUAAACGUUGGGCACUAGGUGUGGGGGACAUUCCACGUUUUCCGCGCCGUAGCUAACGCAUUAAGUGCCCCGCCUGGGGAGUACGGCCGCAAGGCUAAAACUCAAGAAA